GGGUCGGUGCCUGAGUGGUUAAUGGGGGCGGACUGUAAAUCCGCUGGCGAUGCCUACGUUGGUUCAAAUCCAACCCGGCCCA
RNAcentral lists this transfer RNA (82 nucleotides) under Ptilothamnion sphaericum. Its description in RNAcentral is "tRNA-Tyr". It matches the Rfam family "tRNA". From Rfam's summary of the family: Transfer RNA (tRNA) molecules are approximately 80 nucleotides in length. Their secondary structure includes four short double-helical elements and three loops (D, anti-codon, and T loops). Lineage: Eukaryota; Rhodophyta; Florideophyceae; Ceramiales; Wrangeliaceae. The record is from RNAcentral.